UCUUCCUUAAAACAAUAACAGCACAACUACAAACCCUUCUUGGUGUGUCCCUCAUUGAGAUUUUAUCAAGGCAUUCGACUGAUGAGGUCUACCUUGGGCAGAGAGAUACUACUGAGUGGACUUCAGAUCCUGAACCAAAAGCAGCAUUUGAAAGAUUUGCAAAAAAUCUAGAAGAAAUUGAGAAGAAAAUUAUAGAUAUGAACAACGAUAAGAAAUGGAAGAACAGAGUUGGGCCAGUGAAGGUGCCUUACACCUUACUUUAUCCUAACACCACAGAUUACUCUAAAGAGGGCGGACUUACUGGGAAGGGAAUUCCCAACAGUAUCUCUAUAUAAUUUUAGAUCAAUCAGCCAUUAAAAAGUUGUAAUUCCCAAGUGAAUUCUAUUUGGUCAAGGGCAAUAGACCUAUACUGGAACUCUUGCCUGAUAUGGGCUUUAAUGCAAUUCUAUUGCAGCUAAAAAUUAAAAAAUUAAAGAAAAAAAAAAUUGUCUUCACACCAAAAUCUUUAAGUUUAAUAAUCAUACGUUUAAAAGCUACAAUAACGAUCAAUAUAUUUUUUUAAAAGGCUAAUCAAGCAAGUGAAAAAUAUUCAAUUAUGUAUGAUAUACAAGAGGGUAAAGAAUGAGAUGCCUCUACCUUGUUCGCAUUGUAUGGAAAACGGUGCGUUUAACGUUACCUCUGCGCCUUAUAAUUUGUUUUGCUGAACCACGUUUAAGGUUACCUCCAUCCCUCACCAUCUUAAUCUUAUCAUCCGGAUUUAUUAAUUUUAGUUUUUUUUUAAAAAAAAGUAUAUGUUAUUAUUGCCAUUUUAAAAUUUUCCAUAAAUUUUAUUGAUUGUUAAAAAAAUAAUAUAAUUUUUUAAUUCAAGAAAUUUAGUUAACUUACCUGGAAAAAAGAGAUUUAAUUAUCUUAAAAAUAAAUAUUGGGAUUAGCUUAAUAAUGCUUAACAUAUAUAACAGCGUUAAUUUCUCAAUUAAGCAAUUCUUUUUACUUGGAAUACCAUUAUAUUUCAACUCAAAAAAUUAUUUAUGUAUUUAUUUGUUUUUAUUUUUAUUAUUGAUCUGAUUGAAAUUUAUAUUUGAAAAUUUUCAACCUUAAAUUUUAUUUAUUGUGCUUUUAAAUAUAAAGAAAAACUAAACAUUUUAUUAUGAUUGACAAAAAUAAACCAUUAAUUUGUUUUGGAAAAAAAAAAUUUCAAAUUGCCAAGCCCAAUCUAUUGUUUAUUGACAACAAUACAAUCUAUCUUUUAACCAAAAAAAAAACCGAAAAUUCCCAGUUUUCUUUUUAGAAAUUAUGUUAAAUGAUAUUUAAAUUAACUUUGGAUUAUUUACUUUUUGAAGUGAUUUUGAGAAAUUCACUAAUAAAAUGAAUUCAUGUCUAGUUAUAUUGAUGUUUAUGUUAAAAGUUUGAUACUUCAAAUUAAUAGUUUAUUUUAAAAUUUUUUUUGUCUGAAUUUAUUUACACCAGAAAACACAUAGGUUGGGCUUGGGAGGAUUAAAAGAAGGAAAUGAGGUGUGGGUAAGGGGCAAGCCAACGUAUCAAAAUCAGACAUUCUAAUUGGUCCAAACUCUACCAUCUUAUCCAUAGUUACGCCACCACCCACCUAAAUCAACCACCCUUUUUCUAUCUUCUUCGUCACAAACAGCUCCACGUCGUAGAAAUCAUUGCUUAGCCUCCCCAGAAUCUCGGAUUCCUUGUAGCAAUGGCAACUCAAGCUUCUCUCUUCACACCCACCAUCAUCUCCACCCUUAAAUCAAGCAACCAUGUGAUGGUGCCAUGGAAACAAUCCUCCUUUAUCUCAAUCCCUACCUCUGCUAAAAAAUACUCCAACCCUCAAACAACCAUCAAGGCUACUGCUGCAGAGGGAAAAACUGAGGAGGCUCCUGUGGGAUUCACACCACCAGAGUUGGACCCAAAUACCCCAUCACCAAUAUUUGGCGGCAGCACUGGUGGGUUGUUAAAGAAGGCCCAGGUGGAGGAGUUUUACGUGAUCACUUGGGAUUCACCGAAGGAACAAAUAUUUGAAAUGCUCACUGGUGGUGCAGCCAUUAUGAGGCAAGGUCCUAACUUGCUUAAGCUGGCAAGGAAAGAGCAGUGCUUGGCUCUUGGGACAAGGCUGAGGUCCAAAUACAAGAUUAAGUACCAGUUUUACAGGGUGUUUCCAAAUGGGGAAGUCCAAUAUUUGCACCCGAAGGAUGGGGUGUAUCCUGAGAAGGUGAACCCAGGGCGUCAAGGUGUUGGCCAGAAUUUCAGGUCAAUCGGAAAGAAUGCGAGUCCAAUUGAGGUGAAGUUCACUGGGAAGCAAGUUUACGAUUUGUGAGGUGAGUAAAGACUAUGUGAUUAUUUUACAUUUUAUUUUGUGUAAUUGUAUUCCUUUCUAAGGAGCAACAAGAGAAGCCAAACUUGCUACUUAAAUACUUGAACAUAUAUUUCUUUUGUAUUAUGAAGCUCUAGCCUAGCAUAGUAAAAUCGUUUCACAUAGUAAAGAAGCAUCAGACAGAUACACAAUCUGGUGGAACAUCAGAUUGAGCUAUCAGCCAAUUGCAGGGUAAGCGAUGAUCGACACAAAGCUAGCUUUGCUGCACAAUCAGCUAUUAUAUUUGCUUUCCUACUCAAAAGAAAAAGGAAAAGGAUAAGAAAUUGAACAGCUUUAACUGACGCUUGUUGUGAACUCAAAUGCUAAACUCACAAUAUAAUUAUAUUCGUUAAUGGAAUACAAUAAUACCUUAGGGAACGAUAAUUGCCAGGUUGCUGCAACACAAAACAACAACCAGUCGCUGCAGGGUUGGAAAGUGCUAAAUUUCUGGGUUCGUAAAUUGAUCCAUGGCCGCUUCCUUUCCUGAACAGCUUUAGGCGUCCAUGGGCUGUUAUCUCAUCUUCUGUAUGGAUCGUGUCGGAUAUAGGCUAGGUUCUCUUAUUGGGUCCAUUGGCC
This 2932-nucleotide long non-coding RNA is filed under the name Manihot esculenta (cassava). RNAcentral's name for it is "long non-coding RNA (MESC_LNC008839)". Lineage: Eukaryota; Viridiplantae; Streptophyta; Magnoliopsida; Malpighiales; Euphorbiaceae. The record is from RNAcentral.